CCUACGGGAUGCAGCAGUGAGGAAUAUUGGUCAAUGGACGCAAGUCUGAACCAGCAAUGCCGCGUGCAGGAAGACGGCUCUAUGAGUUGUAACCUGCUUUUGUACAAGGGUAAACCUGAAUACGUGUAUUCGGCUGAAAGUACUGUACGAAUAAGGAUCGGCUAACUCCGUGCCAGCAGCCGCGGUAAUACGGAGGAUCCAAGCGUUAUCCGGAUUUAUUGGGUUUAAAGGGUGCGUAGGCGGAUUGAUAAGUUAGAGGUGAAAUGUCCGAGCUUAACUCGGGAACUGCCUCUAAUACUGUUGAUCUAGAGUGUAGAUGCGGUAGGCGGAAUGUAUGGUGUAGCGGUGAAAUGCUUAGAGAUCAUACAGAACACCGAUUGCGAAGGCAGCUUACCAAUCUAUAUCUGACGUUGAGGCACGAAAGCGUGGGGAGCAAACAGGAUUAGAUACCCUGGUAGUC
Molecule: ribosomal RNA, 460 nt
Filed under: uncultured bacterium
Lineage: Bacteria
Description: partial 16S ribosomal RNA
Rfam family: Bacterial small subunit ribosomal RNA
Source: RNAcentral